CCUGUAAAAUCCAAAAAGCAGAUCUCAGUGUACAGAUUCUGAUGGUGUUUGUAAAGCUUAGAUGGACCACCAACAUUUUCUUUAUGCCUACUCUUUAUGAGCUUGGUGUUAGAAGAGGCUAAAUAUAUUGUCAAAUAUAUGUAAAGAUCAGAAAGCACAGCUUGAAAUGCAUACAUAAGGCUAAAGGGUGUGAAGUAUUUUCCAAAUUCAAGGUGUAAGAAGAAAAUGUUGGAGAAACAAACUAAGUAGUUGGAUCAACUAAGCAGAUGUGAGUCACAAAUGGGAUAUCUGGAACUAACUUUCAGGAAGACACGUCAGUUUCAGGUCACAAAUGGGAUAUCUGGAACUAACUUUCAGGAAGACACGUCAGUUUCAGGCACAGCAUAUGCAGAAGAUAUGUGAUUCAACUUCUUGAAAACAAGACUAUGGGGUUUCCUGCCCUCUUGCUGACAAAGGUGCGACUGAUUUUUAGAGUUCUCUGUAUCUAACCCCAUAACUAGUUAAUGUUAUUGAUGAGUUCCAAAUGAAGACUGAUCUGUAUACAUUUUAGGGGUGGAGUGGGUGAAGAGAGAAAAAGAUGGAUCGCAAUGAAAUAGAGC
This 599-nucleotide long non-coding RNA is filed under the name Phoenix dactylifera (date palm). Its description in RNAcentral is "long non-coding RNA (PDAC_LNC004055)". Lineage: Eukaryota; Viridiplantae; Streptophyta; Magnoliopsida; Arecales; Arecaceae. The record is from RNAcentral.